GACGAACGCUGGCGGCGUGCUUAACACAUGCAAGUCGAGCGGUAAGGCCCUUUCGGGGGUACACGAGCGGCGAACGGGUGAGUAACACGUGGGUGACCUGCCCUUAGCUCUGGGAUAAGCCUGGGAAACUGGGUCUAAUACCGGAUAUGACUCCAUGACGCAUGUUGUGGGGUGGAAAGCCUUGUGCGGCUAGGGAUGGGCCCGCGGCCUAUCAGCUUGUUGGUGGGGUGAUGGCCUACCAAGGCGACGACGGGUAGCCGGCCUGAGAGGGCGACCGGCCACACUGGGACUGAGACACGGCCCAGACUCCUACGGGAGGCAGCAGUGGGGAAUCUUGCGCAAUGGGCGAAAGCCUGACGCAGCGACGCCGC
RNAcentral lists this ribosomal RNA (371 nucleotides) under uncultured bacterium. RNAcentral's name for it is "bacterial SSU rRNA". It matches the Rfam family "Bacterial small subunit ribosomal RNA", at positions 28 to 400 of the family's 1533-position model. The record is from RNAcentral.